Molecule: ribosomal RNA, 388 nt
Filed under: Chytridiomycetes sp.
Lineage: Eukaryota; Fungi; Chytridiomycota; Chytridiomycetes
Description: partial small subunit ribosomal RNA
Rfam family: Eukaryotic small subunit ribosomal RNA
Source: RNAcentral
AUUCCAGCUCCAAUAGCGUAUAUUAAAGUUGUUGCAGUUAAAAAGCUCGUAGUUGAAUUUUGGACCUGGUUGAAUGGUCCCGCCGCAAGGUGGGUACUGUUUGAUUGGGUCUUUCUUUGCGGGGAAUUAGUGUGCUCUUAAUUGGGUGCAUUAAGGAUCCGUAACUUUUACUUUGAAAAAAUUAGAGUGUUUAAAGCAGGCUUAGGCCUGAAUACAUUAGCAUGGAAUAAUAGAAUAGGACCUGUGUUCUAUUUUGUUGGUUUCUAGGACGUAGGUAAUGAUUAAUAGGGACAGUUGGGGGCAUUAGUAUUUAACUGUCAGAGGUGAAAUUCUUGAAUUUGUUAAAGACGGACUACAGCGAAAGCAUUUGCCAAGGAUGUUUUCAUUA